Molecule: transfer RNA, 85 nt
Filed under: Felis catus (domestic cat)
Lineage: Eukaryota; Metazoa; Chordata; Mammalia; Carnivora; Felidae
Rfam family: tRNA
About the family: Transfer RNA (tRNA) molecules are approximately 80 nucleotides in length. Their secondary structure includes four short double-helical elements and three loops (D, anti-codon, and T loops).
Source: Rfam by way of RNAcentral
GCCUGGAUGGCUCAGUUGGUUAAGCAUCUGACUUCAGCUCAGGUCAUGAUCUCACGGUUCAUGAGUUCGAGCCCCAUAUUGGGCU